Molecule: non-coding RNA, 369 nt
Organism: Melozone crissalis (California towhee)
Lineage: Eukaryota; Metazoa; Chordata; Aves; Passeriformes; Passerellidae
Source: the annotation of a RefSeq genome assembly
AUGGCGCGUACCACGUGCUGCCACCGUUGCGGUGUGGCCGUGACCCUGCUGGAGUGCGGGGGGGACCUCCAGCCCCCCGGGGGGGCCCUGACUGUGCAGUGCUGCACCUCUGGGAUCGAUUUUGGGUGUCAGCCCAUGAGCUGGGUCCGUCAGAGACCCGGGCAGACACUGGAAUACAUCGCCAGCAUCAGCAGCACUGGCGGCGGCAUCGGCUACGCGCCGUCGGUCAAGGGCCGGUUCAGGAUCUCCAGGGACAACGGGCAGAGCUCGGUGACGCUGACCAUGAAAAACCUCAAGGACGAGGAUUCCGCCGUUUAUUUCUGCACAAAACGUGCCAGGCUCCAAGCGGCCAUGACCCUGUUGGAGUGA